UUGCAGCCAAUUAAGCCGACUGUGCUCUUUUCCCCAUGGGGGCCCAGUGUGCAAUGGCUGCAAAUAGCAGGCUCCUUGGUAGUGUAUGCAACCUGUUGCCUGUACAGGUUGCCCUAAGGGACGUUGGAGACCACU
Molecule: small nucleolar RNA, 135 nt
Filed under: Ovis aries (sheep)
Lineage: Eukaryota; Metazoa; Chordata; Mammalia; Artiodactyla; Bovidae
Description: Small nucleolar RNA SNORA70 (ENSOARG00020081532.1, ENSOARG00260058916.1)
Rfam family: Small nucleolar RNA SNORA70
About the family: snoRNA U70 seems to be exclusive to mammals and is a member of the H/ACA class of snoRNA which contain H (ANANNA) and ACA box motifs. H/ACA box snoRNAs are involved in the conversion of uridines to pseudouridines (5-ribosyluracil) a constituent of structural RNAs (transfer, ribosomal, small nuclear, and small nucleolar).
Source: RNAcentral